AGCUGCAAUACCUUGAAAGAAAAAGGUGAAUUUCUUCGAUUCUAUGUUUUCCUACAAUUCUAGCUUGAAGAAAAUUUAUUCCUUGAAUUCUAGGGUUCUUCGAAAUUUGGGGAUUAUAUUCUAGAGUUGAAGUAUGACUUAAUAUUGAUAUAUAUUAUGUUUUUGAUGUUCCUAACAUGAUUAUGGUGGUUAAUUGUGUGAAUUCUUACUUGAAUUAAUUCUUGCUCAAGUUAGUAUGAACCCUAGGUUUGAGUUCGAAAAUUUUGAUUAUGUUCUUGAAUAAUUAAGUUCAUAUAUGUGUUAUUGAGCUGGAAUUAUGUCAUAUAUGAAUAAAUUAUGAGUUUACACCACAUAGUUUGGGAGAUUGAUGUUGUUAGUUUAGUGGAAAUUGGGGCUUUUGAGUUAAGAAGGUUUAUGUGCUAUUAUUUAAUGGAUGUGGGUAUAUUAUGAUGUGAUUCUAUUAAGUAUAGAAUUUGAACAGCUCUACCUCGUUCUCUUGUAAGGACUUAAUAUAUGGAAACUAGAGAAAUGAUGAAGUUGUUUGUUCUUAUGCUUAUUGUUGAGAUUAGUGGCUUUGAUAAUUGAGUUUAAAUUGAGAUCAUUGAGAUUUUAUUUCAAAGAAAUUGAGGUGAUUGAUAAAGUUAGUUUAUUAAACUAAAUAUGUAUCUAUUUAUUGAGAAUUGACAAAUAUCUAUGAGUUUAUUCUUUGUUUUCUUAUUGAGUUAAGAGGAGUAAGUGGUGUUAUUGUAUUGAUGAUAUGAUGUGAGGAAACGUUGGGAUACUAAGUGAAUAGCAAACAUGAGUUAUUGUUGUAAUAUUAUAUAUAUAUAUAUAUAUAUAUAUAUAUAUAUAUAUAUAUAUUUUCUUACUUAUUUUUCUUACAAAAAAAUCUUUAUCUAUUUAAAGGUUCCGGCUAGGAACGAGCCUGACACUAGAGUACGAAGUAAGAGAAACAUAUCAGGUGGGCUUACUAACUCAAGAAACAAUGAUGCAUACUUUAUUAUAUAAAGUUUAAGUGUAUGCAUUUAUUUUCAAAUUGUUGACUUGCCAAUGUUUAAGAUUUGUAUGAUACCAUCUACAUAGAAGAACGAAUUCGGGUCCUGAGCGAGUCAGGAUUUGUGUACACAGAGUGACGGUUAACCUUGAGUUAGCUUGUCGUUACGUUUGGGAAGGAGGCCUACUUCUCAACGUGUUUAUUGAGACUAGUAGAUAUGGUACAUACUUACAUGAGAACUUAGUCUGCGCAGACACUUUCAAAUACUAUGUAAAAACAGUUUAGCAAACACAGGUUGCUUCAGAAAAUCCCUUGUGUAUUGCUUAAAGUGGCAAGUUCAAUAUAUAGCAUUAUCAUGCAGAGUUUUAAAUGUUUUCGGCAUAUGUUCACUGAGUGCUUGUGGUACUCAGCCCUGCAUAUCUUUCUAAAUGUGCAGGUUAAGUUUGGAUGAAGAUGGAAGUGUGCUGAGCUGGAGCUUUUUGUUUAUGUAAAUAGUAAUAGGCUCAGGAUGUUGUGUCUUCAUACAUAAUGUCCAAUGAUGUACUCCGCUGCAACACUUUAUUUCUCU
RNAcentral lists this long non-coding RNA (1562 nucleotides) under Salvia miltiorrhiza (redroot sage). Its description in RNAcentral is "long non-coding RNA (SMIL_LNC000059)". Lineage: Eukaryota; Viridiplantae; Streptophyta; Magnoliopsida; Lamiales; Lamiaceae. The record is from RNAcentral.